Molecule: long non-coding RNA, 1450 nt
Organism: Musa acuminata AAA Group (dessert banana)
Lineage: Eukaryota; Viridiplantae; Streptophyta; Magnoliopsida; Zingiberales; Musaceae
Exons: 4
Source: RefSeq, a predicted model, not a curated record
CUUAAAUAUUGUAGAAAUACUGAAACUACAUUCUGAAAUUUAGUACAACCAGAGAGCAAAUAAAUGUGCGGGUCUUUUGAGGGUGCAUGGCACAAUGGAUCAGUUCGGAACUGCUGGCUAAGAAUUAUGAUGAGGCAUACAUUCACACAUUAAAAGAGGGAAUGAAAUCAGGAUAAAUAAAUAAACUAUGUUGCACUUUUUCCAUAUGCAGUCAGUAACAGCAAAAUUAACCAAUUUUGUUUGUUGUUUCUACAUAACACUUUACUGGAGAAGCAGUGCGCUAAGGAUAUCUGCAAGAUGACAGGAAUAUGUCUGGUCUAAAUGCAUAUUCUAAUGCUACACAACAUUAUCAUGCUAUCCAGUCUGCUACUCAGCUUCACUAUCUCUUCUGACAUUUUUGGAGAUUUCAAGACAUCAUUAUUCAAAUAAUAGAAGCAUUAAUUUAGGUCUAUAUCAUGUUUCCCACUGAUCCACUAAUAACAAUCUGUCAAUGGCAGAUUGCCACAUCAGCCUUUUUUUUUUUUUUUGCAGGACAGAUUAUCAAUGUGGCCGAUGCUCCAGUAUUCUACCAUUACCUCUGACAUGGUUUUUUCUCAAUAAGAAACUGAUGCCAGUUCAGCUAACUGAUCCAAGUUGACAAAAACCGGCUUCAUCGGUAUCCUCUUUGAGACUCAGGGCUGACAAUACCAUUCAUCCACAGGAAGCUUUUUUACUCUAGGAACGCAACAGGACGGAUGAUAUGCUUCUUCACAGUGGUCACAAAUUAACAUCUUCAAUGGAUCAUCAAACAGCCUGCAUGUUUUGCAUUUUUGAGAAAGAUUGGUACUGCCAUCACAGAGACUUUCUGAAGCAGCAUAGUUGCUGCUAGCACAUGAUUUCCCUAGAAGUCCAUGAGUUUUAAGCACAUAGAUGCAGAGUUCCCUUGCUGAUGCAAAUUCACCCACCAGUUCCAUGACAUUAGAUGAGGAACACUCACCAGUAUCCUCUAUAUCUAUUUUGAGGAAAGUUGAAAUUUGGAAAUCUUCCCAUCAGAUGCUUUGGAUGGUACUUCAAAUUUCCCAACAGAACAUAUACCACAGAGCCCUGAACUUGGAACCGACUCAACAUCUGCGGUAACAAUGUCAACAGUCUCUCUCUCAAAAUCAGCUUUCCGAAUUCCCAAAAGACAAACUGUUCACUCUGAUGCCUCAAACUCGAGCACAUGCCACUGACAGUUGAUACAUCCGUCCAGCUUCUUGAUGAAACUACAAUCUCAUUUGGUGAUGGUUCAUAUUUUUCCUUCUCAGUAUAAAUGGAAUUUCUGAAGCUAUUCCAAUGGCAUUCUUCAUGUUUUGGAGACAUUUGAUCUCCUUCAACACUCUGUGACCACCCCAAGAUUUUAAUAUUGAUGUAUUUUCAUUGGAUGCAUUAAAAUAAUAGGCAAUGGUCAUAUAACUAGGAUGAGGAUCAA